GCAAACUUGGUCAUUUAGAGGAAGUAAAAGUCGUAACAAGGUUUCCGUAGGUGAACCUGCGGAAGGAUCAUUAUCGAAUGACAAUCGCCCUGCUGGGGCUGUGCGUCUCGCACGCCACAGCAGGCGCGUCGUUCUCACCUCACACCUGUGCACCUUCGGUCGGCCCUCGGGCCCUCCGCCUUUUUUCAUUCACCUCUGUAAAAGAAUGUAAAAUACAUAUUGCGUAAAACGCGAAACAACUUUCAACAACGGAUCUCUUGGCUCCCGCAUCGAUGAAGAACGCAGC
This 286-nucleotide unclassified non-coding RNA is filed under the name uncultured fungus. Its description in RNAcentral is "partial contains small subunit ribosomal RNA, internal transcribed spacer 1, and 5.8S ribosomal RNA". The stretch from base 1 to 73 matches the Rfam family "Eukaryotic small subunit ribosomal RNA", at positions 1759 to 1831 of the family's 1831-position model. The record is from RNAcentral. Lineage: Eukaryota; Fungi.